Molecule: long non-coding RNA, 1861 nt
Organism: Rhineura floridana
Lineage: Eukaryota; Metazoa; Chordata; Lepidosauria; Squamata; Rhineuridae
Exons: 3
Source: RefSeq, a predicted model, not a curated record
AGGAGGGAGGGCGAUCGGACUGGCCUUAGACCAAAUGCAACAUUAGCAGCAAUGGACUGUCGUCGCCGCCCCAACACCCUGAGCUCCUCAUGUGUCCAGUUAGUGUUGGUACCCAGCACCGAGGCAGCAACUACAAUUAGUACCUGUCAGAUUUUGCUGGUGGUAGCCCUUUUUAAGCCGGUCCGACAAAAACUGUCAAAAUACCCUUCCAGCACACACACAUACCUGCUGUUUUGGGUUGGACUGAGCAUCAGAAGCCAAUACUUCCCCAGGUUAGCUACUGGAGCACACAGUUGCUUCUGUGUGCCAGACAAGUAAUUUGCAGAAUUUUCUGGAGGCAGCAUUGGUGGAAUCUUUCAAGACGUUGGGAGUGGCGUUUAUAAAUGGUCCAUGUUUCACAGGCAUACAGUAAGAGAGAUGGCUGCUGAGAUAGGGAAAGUGAUCAACGUUCUCCAACGUCACACCAUUAAGCUGGAUUGAUGGUGCUACAGAGGGACUAGUUCGCACCUGUUGAUGAAGCACUUUGUUUUUUUUAAUAUUAAGUGAGAGCCCAAGCUUUCCAUAUGCUUCUGCGAAGACAUUUAGGAUAGUUUGAAGAUCUUUCUCUGAAUGUGCAGAGACUACAUUAUCAUCAGCAUAUUGAAGUUCUACGACAGAGGUUACGACAGAGCUGUGGCUAAUGGAAACACUUUGAUCUGGUGACUAGCGAGUUUACAGCCUUACAGUUGGUCUUGCUCCCAACAAACCAUGAACUGUAACCAAGGUUGUUCUUGGUUUACUUGUUAAAGUGGGGGGAGACAAACAAUGAGCCCGCGUCCACUUGUAAUGCUAAGGGAAACCAUGGCUUAGCCUCUUAUACCAGGCUCACUAUAUUCUCUGAUCCAGUUUUUUUUUUUUUUAAGGAUAUUGUUCACUUUUAUUUGACAGGCAAUUUCAGAUUCCUUUUUUAAUUAUGCAGUCAACUGACUGGUUAGGGUCAAAUUGACACACAGCAUUCAGUUUCCCCCUCUCCCAUUGGCUUCUUGGCCUUCACUGGCCCAUUAGGGUUGCCAUUCACAGUGCUCCAGGGACAGAAAUCACAACUGGCAGAAUUGUCUUCAGUCUGUAGACCAGCUUUGCCCAACCUGGUGCCCUUCCAAUGUUGCUGGACUACAACCAUCAUUAUCCCUGAACAUUGGCCAUGUUAGGUGAGGUGAUGGGAGUUGUAGUCCAACAAAAUCUGGAGGGAACCAGAUGUUGGGCAAGGCUGCUCUAGACUGAGCAAUUACAUGUCCCCUUGGCUGCCCAGUUACUUCUUGUCAAUAGCACAGCUGCUGUUAUUUCUAGGCCUUUUGUGAAUUUUUAUUCCAGCCCUACUUUUUCCUUGAUUCAUCCUUUCUUCGGCACCACCACCCAUUGUAUCCUCUGGUUUUCAGCUUUUCCAGCUACAGCCUCCUAUCUCCCACUUCCUUUACCACCACCACCUCAUGUCUUGACCACCACACCUAGCGCUCCUAUCUCAAAAAGAGUGAUAGAGUUGGGAAAAUGUUACAGCAUUGCAAUCGCAAUGAUUCAUCAAUUAUAAAAAACAAUCCAUGCAUUAGUAACAUAUUUAAUGCAUGGAAAAAUAUAAAAACAAAUCAAGCCCUGGUCUUUCACCCCUAACAGCUCUCUACUAUAAUAAAGAAUCAAUUUAAGAAAAAAAGCCACAUUAGAAAGCAUGCAGUUAUGGGAACAAUAUGAAAUAAUAGAAAUUAGACAAUUACUGAAUAAUAAUAUCGUUAAAACCUAUUAUGAAAUUAAAAGUGAAAUGAAAUAUAGGCAAGUACAAGCCUAAAGGAAUAUCAAAUCAGACAUAUUAAUAAACUAUUAAGAAAAUACA